Oreochromis aureus is the source of this 395-nucleotide long non-coding RNA. RefSeq lists it as uncharacterized. NCBI's taxonomy places the organism in Eukaryota, Metazoa, Chordata, Actinopteri, Cichliformes, Cichlidae. The record is from RefSeq and is a predicted model, not a curated record. The transcript is spliced from 3 exons.
GCAAUAAGAGGUGCUAAUGUAAGCGUCCUGUUAAUGUUGGUGGCGUUAAUGUUGGUGGCAGUUAACCCUAACUGUGCAGUGCGAACUCUGUUUGCAUCAAAAGACACCACCUCCACCCUAAAGAAACAUCUGGAAGCUUUUCUAGUCUGCAUACGUAAGUUUGGACACCAACAUCUGUCCACCUGUGCUUCAGUUUCUGGCCUCAUGUCACGACCAAUUUUGACCAGAAAGAUGACGCCAGCGUUUCAACCAUGUUUGCUGGGUUAGGUGAUGGUGCACACUUUCCUGAGGACACGAUGCUUGGGCUAUUACCAGGCUUAGUCCAAUACUCCAGAGCUGACUGUUGCCUCACCACACCAUUAGGUAGCUCUGCUCAAGAUGGCGGACGAUUGGAG